UUAAAUUGAAGAGUUUGAUCAUGGCUCAGAUUGAACGCUGGCGGCAGGCCUAACACAUGCAAGUCGAACGGUAACAGGAAGCAGCUUGCUGCUUUGCUGACGAGUGGCGGACGGGUGAGUAAUGUCUGGGAAACUGCCUGAUGGAGGGGGAUAACUACUGGAAACGGUGGCUAAUACCGCAUAACGUCGCAAGACCAAAGAGGGGGACCUUCGGGCCUCUUGCCAUCAGAUGUGCCCAGAUGGGAUUAGCUAGUUGGUGAGGUAACGGCUCACCAAGGCGACGAUCCCUAGCUGGUCUGAGAGGAUGACCAGCCACACUGGAACUGAGACACGGUCCAGACUCCUACGGGAGGCAGCAGUGGGGAAUAUUGCACAAUGGGCGCAAGCCUGAUGCAGCCAUGCCGCGUGUAUGAAGAAGGCCUUCGGGUUGUAAAGUACUUUCAGCGGGGAGGAAGGUGUUGUGGUUAAUAACCACAGCAAUUGACGUUACCCGCAGAAGAAGCACCGGCUAACUCCGUGCCAGCAGCCGCGGUAAUACGGAGGGUGCAAGCGUUAAUCGGAAUUACUGGGCGUAAAGCGCACGCAGGCGGUCUGUCAAGUCGGAUGUGAAAUCCCCGGGCUCAACCUGGGAACUGCAUUCGAAACUGGCAGGCUUGAGUCUUGUAGAGGGGGGUAGAAUUCCAGGUGUAGCGGUGAAAUGCGUAGAGAUCUGGAGGAAUACCGGUGGCGAAGGCGGCCCCCUGGACAAAGACUGACGCUCAGGUGCGAAAGCGUGGGGAGCAAACAGGAUUAGAUACCCUGGUAGUCCACGCCGUAAACGAUGUCUACUUGGAGGUUGUGCCCUUGAGGCGUGGCUUCCGGAGCUAACGCGUUAAGUAGACCGCCUGGGGAGUACGGCCGCAAGGUUAAAACUCAAAUGAAUUGACGGGGGCCCGCACAAGCGGUGGAGCAUGUGGUUUAAUUCGAUGCAACGCGAAGAACCUUACCUGGUCUUGACAUCCACGGAAGUUUUCAGAGAUGAGAAUGUGCCUUCGGGAACCGUGAGACAGGUGCUGCAUGGCUGUCGUCAGCUCGUGUUGUGAAAUGUUGGGUUAAGUCCCGCAACGAGCGCAACCCUUAUCCUUUGUUGCCAGCGGUUAGGCCGGGAACUCAAAGGAGACUGCCAGUGAUAAACUGGAGGAAGGUGGGGAUGACGUCAAGUCAUCAUGGCCCUUACGACCAGGGCUACACACGUGCUACAAUGGCGCAUACAAAGAGAAGCGACCUCGCGAGAGCAAGCGGACCUCAUAAAGUGCGUCGUAGUCCGGAUUGGAGUCUGCAACUCGACUCCAUGAAGUCGGAAUCGCUAGUAAUCGUGGAUCAGAAUGCCACGGUGAAUACGUUCCCGGGCCUUGUACACACCGCCCGUCACACCAUGGGAGUGGGUUGCAAAAGAAGUAGGUAGCUUAACCUUCGGGAGGGCGCUUACCACUUUGUGAUUCAUGACUGGGGUGAAGUCGUAACAAGGUAACCGUAGGGGAACCUGCGGUUGGAUCACCUCCUUACCUUAAAGAA
RNAcentral lists this ribosomal RNA (1554 nucleotides) under Salmonella enterica subsp. enterica serovar Heidelberg. Its description in RNAcentral is "bacterial SSU rRNA". It matches the Rfam family "Bacterial small subunit ribosomal RNA". Lineage: Bacteria; Pseudomonadati; Pseudomonadota; Gammaproteobacteria; Enterobacterales; Enterobacteriaceae. The record is from RNAcentral.